GAUGAACGCUGGCAGCGUGCCUAAUACAUGCAAGUCGAGCGAACAGACGAGGAGCUUGCUCCUCUGUCGUUUGCGGAGGACGGGUGAGUCACACGUGGAUAACCUACCUAUAAGACUGGGAUCACUUGGGGAAACCGGAGCUAAUCCCGGAUAAUAUCUUGAACCGCAUGGUUCAAUAGUGAAAGACGGUUUUGCUGUCACUUAUAGAUGGUUAUGAGCCGCAUUAGCUAGUUGGUAAGGUAACAGCUUACCACGGCGAGCAUGCGUAGCCGAGCUGAGAGGGUGAUCGGCCACACGAGAACGGGGACACGGUCCAGAGUCCUACGGGAGGCAGCAGUAGGGAACCGGCCGCAGUGGGCGAAAACCUGACGGAGCAGCGCCACGUGAGUGAUGAAGGUCUUCGGAUCGGAAAACUCUGUUAUGAGUGAAGAACAAAUGUGUAAGUAACUAUGCACGUCUUGACGGUACCUAAUCAGAAAGCCACGGCUAACUACGUG
Molecule: ribosomal RNA, 497 nt
Filed under: uncultured bacterium
Lineage: Bacteria
Description: partial 16S ribosomal RNA
Rfam family: Bacterial small subunit ribosomal RNA
Source: RNAcentral